AGAGUUUGAUCCUGGCUCAGAUUGAACGCUGGCGGCAGGCCUAACACAUGCAAGUCGAGCGGUAGCACAGAGAGCUUGCUCUCGGGUGACGAGCGGCGGACGGGUGAGUAAUGUCUGGGAAACUGCCUGAUGGAGGGGGAUAACUACUGGAAACGGUAGCUAAUACCGCAUAACGUCGCAAGACCAAAGUGGGGGACCUUCGGGCCUCAUGCCAUCAGAUGUGCCCAGAUGGGAUUAGCUGGUAGGUGGGGUAACGGCUCACCUAGGCGACGAUCCCUAGCUGGUCUGAGAGGAUGACCAGCCACACUGGAACUGAGACACGGUCCAGACUCCUACGGGAGGCAGCAGUGGGGAAUAUUGCACAAUGGGCGCAAGCCUGAUGCAGCCAUGCCGCGUGUGUGAAGAAGGCCUUCGGGUUGUAAAGCACUUUCAGCGGGGAGGAAGGCGAUAAGGUUAAUAACCUUGUCGAUUGACGUUACCCGCAGAAGAAGCACCGGCUAACUCCGUGCCAGCAGCCGCGGUAAUACGGAGGGUGCAAGCGUUAAUCGGAAUUACUGGGCGUAAAGCGCACGCAGGCGGUCUGUCAAGUCGGAUGUGAAAUCCCCGGGCUCAACCUGGGAACUGCAUUCGAAACUGGCAGGCUAGAGUCUUGUAGAGGGGGGUAGAAUUCCAGGUGUAGCGGUGAAAUGCGUAGAGAUCUGGAGGAAUACCGGUGGCGAAGGCGGCCCCCUGGACAAAGACUGACGCUCAGGUGCGAAAGCGUGGGGAGCAAACAGGAUUAGAUACCCUGGUAGUCCACGCUGUAAACGAUGUCGAUUUGGAGGUUGUGCCCUUGAGGCGUGGCUUCCGGAGCUAACGCGUUAAAUCGACCGCCUGGGGAGUACGGCCGCAAGGUUAAAACUCAAAUGAAUUGACGGGGGCCCGCACAAGCGGUGGAGCAUGUGGUUUAAUUCGAUGCAACGCGAAGAACCUUACCUGGUCUUGACAUCCACAGAACUUAGCAGAGAUGCUUUGGUGCCUUCGGGAACUGUGAGACAGGUGCUGCAUGGCUGUCGUCAGCUCGUGUUGUGAAAUGUUGGGUUAAGUCCCGCAACGAGCGCAACCCUUAUCCUUUGUUGCCAGCGGUUAGGCCGGGAACUCAAAGGAGACUGCCAGUGAUAAACUGGAGGAAGGUGGGGAUGACGUCAAGUCAUCAUGGCCCUUACGACCAGGGCUACACACGUGCUACAAUGGCAUAUACAAAGAGAAGCGACCUCGCGAGAGCAAGCGGACCUCAUAAAGUAUGUCGUAGUCCGGAUUGGAGUCUGCAACUCGACUCCAUGAAGUCGGAAUCGCUAGUAAUCGUAGAUCAGAAUGCUACGGUGAAUACGUUCCCGGGCCUUGUACACACCGCCCGUCACACCAUGGGAGUGGGUUGCAAAAGAAGUAGGUAGCUUAACCUUCGGGAGGGCGCUUACCACUUUGUGAUUCAUGACUGGGGUGAAGUCGUAACAAGGUAACC
RNAcentral lists this ribosomal RNA (1501 nucleotides) under Klebsiella pneumoniae. Its description in RNAcentral is "bacterial SSU rRNA". It matches the Rfam family "Bacterial small subunit ribosomal RNA". Lineage: Bacteria; Pseudomonadati; Pseudomonadota; Gammaproteobacteria; Enterobacterales; Enterobacteriaceae. The record is from RNAcentral.